UACGUAGGUGGCAAGCGUUGUCCGGAUUUACUGGGCGUAAAGAGCGCGCAGGCGGUCGUACAAGUCGCGUGUGAAAGCCCCCGGCUCAACUGGGGAGGGUCACGCGAUACUGUUCGACUCGAAGGCAGGAGAGGGAAGCGGAAUUCCCGGUGUAGUGGUGAAAUGCGUAGAUAUCGGGAGGAACACCAGUGGCGAAGGCGGCUUCCUGGCCUGUUCUUGACGCUGAGGCGCGAAAGCGUGGGGAGCGAUCCGG
This 253-nucleotide ribosomal RNA is filed under the name uncultured bacterium. Its description in RNAcentral is "partial 16S ribosomal RNA". It matches the Rfam family "Bacterial small subunit ribosomal RNA", at positions 524 to 776 of the family's 1533-position model. The record is from RNAcentral.